Acanthosepion pharaonis is the source of this 119-nucleotide non-coding RNA. The record is from the annotation of a GenBank genome assembly. NCBI's taxonomy places the organism in Eukaryota, Metazoa, Mollusca, Cephalopoda, Sepiida, Sepiidae.
UUACGACCAUAUCACAUUGAAACACCACUUCCUAAUGUAUGUGAUCACCGAAGUUAAGCAACAUCGAGCCUGGUCAUUACCUAGAUGGGUGACCGAUUAGAAAUACCAGGUGCUGUAAG